AAAUCUCUUCAUGUUGAAAGGGGACUGGAGUAGUCUCGAUCUGUGAGGGGAACCGAGAUAUCUCUUCGUGUUCUUUAUCUUUAUGCACUUUACCGUUCAUCGCUUAACAUAACCAGAAAAGAAAGAACAAAGUUUUUCAUAAACAGAAAAAAAAUUCAAAGAACCUAAUUCACCCCUCUUAUCCCCUCUUAUGCGCUACUCAACUAGCAUUUAUCAAUCUUAUAAAUAGAAAAAUCUUCCAUGAAUAUCUAUAUAUAAAUAUUUAAAAGUCCAUAUAU
RNAcentral lists this long non-coding RNA (278 nucleotides) under Lathyrus oleraceus (garden pea). RNAcentral describes it as "Pisum sativum (pea) long non-coding RNA (PSAT_LNC022849)". The record is from RNAcentral. Lineage: Eukaryota; Viridiplantae; Streptophyta; Magnoliopsida; Fabales; Fabaceae.